This 429-nucleotide ribosomal RNA is filed under the name Bacteroidota bacterium. RNAcentral describes it as "Bacteroidetes bacterium partial 16S ribosomal RNA". It matches the Rfam family "Bacterial small subunit ribosomal RNA", at positions 355 to 776 of the family's 1533-position model. Lineage: Bacteria; Pseudomonadati; Bacteroidota. The record is from RNAcentral.
UAGGGAAUCUUCGGCAAUGGGGGGAACCCUGACCGAGCAACGCCGCGUGAGUGAAGAAGGUUUUCGGAUCGUAAAGCUCUGUUGUUAAGGAAGAACGAGUGUGAGAAUGGAAAGUUCAUGCUGUUACGGUACUUAACCAGAAAGGGACGGCUAACUACGUGCCAGCAGCCGCGGUAAUACGUAGGUCCCGAGCGUUGUCCGGAUUUAUUGGGCGUAAAGCGAGCGCAGGCGGUUAGAAAAGUCUGAAGUGAAAGGCAGUGGCUCAACCAUUGUAGGCUUUGGAAACUGUUUAACUUGAGUGCAGAAGGGGAGAGUGGAAUUCCAUGUGUAGCGGUGAAAUGCGUAGAUAUAUGGAGGAACACCGGUGGCGAAAGCGGCUCUCUGGUCUGUAACUGACGAUGAGGCUCGAAAGCGUGGGGAGCGAACAGG